UGUUUAUCUGUGAUGCUUGAAAAUAAAUGUCUGAACAUAUGAAACAUCUGUGAUUUUUAUUUUCCUUUCUGAGAUAAAUG
Molecule: small nucleolar RNA, 80 nt
Filed under: Leptobrachium leishanense (Leishan spiny toad)
Lineage: Eukaryota; Metazoa; Chordata; Amphibia; Anura; Megophryidae
Description: Small nucleolar RNA SNORD72 (ENSLLEG00000002459.1)
Rfam family: Small nucleolar RNA SNORD72
About the family: snoRNA HBII-240 belongs to the CD family of snoRNAs. It is the human orthologue of the mouse MBII-240 and is predicted to guide 2'O-ribose methylation of the large 28S rRNA at residue U4590.
Source: Rfam by way of RNAcentral